Scophthalmus maximus (turbot) is the source of this 3453-nucleotide long non-coding RNA. RefSeq lists it as uncharacterized. The transcript has 2 exons. The record is from RefSeq and is a predicted model, not a curated record. Lineage: Eukaryota; Metazoa; Chordata; Actinopteri; Pleuronectiformes; Scophthalmidae.
GCUACAGUAGGUAGUCCGAAGCAGGUGUGCGAGAGCAGUUCGUUCGUGAGACGGGGCGUUGCCUCGUCGUCUCGCGGCUAAAGGACGGAGGAAAAACUGCUGUAAUCUAAGCUAUUAGCAUGCUAAGCUACGAGCGCGCUAAGCUAGCGCUCAUGGACUUCAGUGCUAACCGCCUGCUAGCAUCUCCGAUGGAGUUCAUCAGCACUGAUGGCGACCGAGAGGAAACCAGAUAGCGCACUGGUUGACCGGGUAAAACUCAGCUGCACCUUGGGCUACAAGGGACGUGAGACUUUCUUCAUCCAUCGGUCAAGGACAGGUGAGAGGAGGCAGAGGUAGACUGGACCCGGGUGAGUAAGCAAGUUCACAGUCGUGGCCCCAGCCCACACGCUUGGAACAGGGUUUGUUUUUUAUUUCAUUAUACUGCUGGAAUUUGUUUGUUUUUUUACAAGAGUGUGGGCCCACAAACAUUGAGUGCACUGUUCUGAGUUUGAAUAUUAUAAGAACAUUCAAAAAGGUCAUUAGAGGAAAUAAUUUCCACAUGCCCUAAUAUAAAAUUCUGUGUUUAGUAACAGUGUUUACUUGAAUCUGAGUUUACAUCCGGUAAAAGAGGGGAAAGAGGGAAAAUUUGACUGUUGAUUUGUUUGCUUUUAUUUUAAGAUUUUGCCUAUAAAAGGCAAUUAGGCCAUAACCAUAUCUGUCAUCAUAUAUAUAUAUAUAUAUGUAAUUAUCCGUAUUCAGACCUAAUUUCUUGUUUAAAAAUCCUUAAUUAUUGUGAUUUUACAUGUUUGAAGUAAUUUCUCUAAGACAAGGUGAUUAGUUUGAGACGGUUAAAGGUGCAGUAUAAAUAAGACCCCACAUAGUUUUUUAGUCUAGAUCCUAUAAUACAGGUUUAAUGAGUCGGAGCUGCUGCAGUGCUGUCGCAGAGGGUUAAGCUGCAUUUAUGAUCAAACAUGAAAUGGUCUGACUCAAACCAGACGGUCACGAUCAUGAGAGCAAAGCAAGGACUGUCGAGAGAGAGUGUAUCUUUCUGCUUUCCUAGGGGUAAUUGUUCCGAUGGCCCGAUUGUUACUUAGGUUGAGUAAUUGCUGAAAGUGUGUGUUUGUGUGUGUUGGUGUUGAGGAAAAAAUAGCCGGUCAUUGUGAAACGUUUGUUCAGGUUCACUAACUUGCCAACCGUUGGCCAAUCAAAGUAAUGCAAAGCAAUUUAGAUAAUGAUUUAAAUGACAAGAACACAAAGUGUACCUGCCUGGAAUAUGGUGCAAUUAACACCACAUGUUUAUCAGGCCACGUGCCAUGUAGGCAAAACAAAAACAAAGAACAGAAGAUGAGUGUUUGAGCUCUGGGAGCUUAACACUCCCAGAGCUCAACUUAAAAAGAUAAAAUUAAAAACAGACAAGGUUCCGGUGAACACACUAAGGAAAGAAUUUUUCAGUGCAUUAGCAUAUCAGAGCCGAGUCUUUACUGAAGGGGAACGGAAAAGAAGCGAAAGGGAGAGGAGGAAGAUGCAAAAUAAAAAUUCACACUGACUGAAAGAACACAUUUACUUCUCAUUGUGUGUCUACGCUGCACUAACAGGCUGCUCUCUCCUUUCACUGCAUUGUGAGUCCGCCGGUGAGUUUUGAUGUUCAUUACCCAAUAGUGCCUGGGAUAUCUGGCCGUACACAGGUCAUCAUCCCGCAUCAGACACAUUUGCAUUUCAAUCACUUGUGUUAGCGGAGGCAGCUGAUGCUGCGGUACAUAGAAUCAGCUGCCUUUCUUCCCAACCCCACAUUUAUAUACAUUCAAAACCCAAGAUCAUGGGAAGGAAUGGCAGCGGAAAUAGCACCGAUGAUGAAUAAACAUUACCUGAGGGCUGAAAGAGAGGCCUUUUUGUUCUGCUCAGAACUUGGGAGAAAAAACUGUCAGAGACACAGAAGCUGAAAUCAGAAACAUUUUUACUCAAAAAAAUGACAGCAGUGUGGUUAAUGAUAUGGUGCUGAGUUAUAUUAGAUCUUAGAAGCUUUGAUUUCAUACCUAAUCAGAAACACGUGAAAUUGCUGGUGACAAGCAUACGUGUGAUGUGCUGAUUUAAAAUGAUCUCGACUUUUCCUGAAACCAUGAAGACAUUUUUCCCCUUCACACCAUUUUGAGCAAACGUAAGGGAAACCCAACAUGGUUUAAACUAAAAUGGACGUGACUCAGACGAUUUUAUUGCUGUGUUGCUGUGCUGUGAUGAAUAAAGUCUCAGACAGCAUCUCUGACUCAUCAGCUGUGACCUUUUGUGAUAGUCAGAGGGAGGCUGUCUCCCUCUAGAGACCAACCUGGGAUCGACAACGUUGAUGAAGACCUGGACAUCUCAAACGAGAAGGUGUCGCAAAGGCUAGAGCGAAAAAUGUUUUAACAUAAAAGAAUCUGUUUCCGUCCUCCUGUCUUAAAAUGAACAGAUGCUUCGAGAUAGCAGAUUUAUUUUAUGUCUGUUUUGGUCUGGUGUUGGCACUUUAGUUCAUGGCAUCUAUGGGCUACUAGCAGUGCUUUAAAGUUAUUGAGUUGUGUUAUUAUUUUGCAAUGACUGACAGGAGACUCCUGAAUGUGGUAUUGUGCAAUGUUUUAAACUCAUUGUUUUUGCUGUUGGAAAGUUUUGGAGCACGCUUGGCCUUCUAUUCAAUCAGAAUAUUAUAACCCAACACAAAACAAAAACAAGGUGGUGUCAUGGUGGAAUCAUCCACUGUAAGAAAAGUAAACCCUGUGACACAAUCUCUCAAAAACUCUUUUUUAAUUUACAUUUAAAUUUUUGAUCAUUUAUUUGGAACAUUCUAUUUCAUCUUUACCAAAGAGUUUAUUUUCGUGGACACAAUCGAAUAAGCUUUGCGACUCCAUCUCCCUGAUGUCAAUUUACCUGUUGAACUGAGCAGAGGCGACUUUGAUACGGACCAAGACAACUGAUCUUCUCCAUGCGUGGAUGACAGUAUAGCGGCAGCAGAUGGUAAGGUAGGGCAAUCCCUGCUCACUCAUUCAUCGUUCUUAUUCAUCCGAUAGACCUGCUGAGUGUAACAGAAACUUGUACCAUGAUAACAGGACAAUUAGAAGAUUUUUAGGUUUUUAUUUAGAUUUCUUACACACAAGCCAACAAAUCAGAUAUCUGUCAUGACUCCAGCCCCAGUUCUGAUACUUUUGGUCAUUUUUCCCCCGGUCUCCUGCCUCACUUGACGAUGCAUCACCUCCCUUGCAUAUAUACCAGCCUGGAGUUUUUUGCAUCUGGGUUCAGAUUUCCUGUUUUCCUCUAAUAUGUGUGACAAUAACAGUGGCGAUGAUAAAAGAUAGCCUGACGCUUAUUAAUGUUAUCAAAGACAACUUCAUGAUUAAAACAAUUAUCAAGAAAAAACACAAAUGUAUGUGUUUAAUGACUGAGAUUAAUAUUUUUUCUUUUCUGUAGUGUGUGUGAAUGGAGCCUUAAUGUUUUUGUUUGAAUGUGGUU